RNAcentral lists this transfer RNA (69 nucleotides) under Nannocystis sp. RNAcentral's name for it is "tRNA-Leu". It matches the Rfam family "tRNA". From Rfam's summary of the family: Transfer RNA (tRNA) molecules are approximately 80 nucleotides in length. Lineage: Bacteria; Pseudomonadati; Myxococcota; Nannocystales; Nannocystaceae. The record is from RNAcentral.
CAUUUUGCUCAACUGGUAGAGCAAUCGACUAAGGAUCGAUGCGUACAGGUUCAAGCCCUGUAAUGCCCA